This 248-nucleotide ribosomal RNA is filed under the name uncultured bacterium. RNAcentral describes it as "partial 16S ribosomal RNA". It matches the Rfam family "Bacterial small subunit ribosomal RNA", at positions 524 to 775 of the family's 1533-position model. The record is from RNAcentral.
UACAGAGGUGCCAAGCGUUAGGCGGAAUCACUGGGCUUAAAGCGUGUGUAGGCGGACUGUUAAGUACCUUGUGAAAUCCCACGGCUCAACCCGUGGAACUGCUCGGGUAUACCUGGCGGUCUUGAGCUGCUUAGGGUCGUCGGAACAAGCGGUGGAGCGGUGAAAUGCGUAGAUAUCGCUUGGAACGCCAACGGUGAACAGACGACUGGAGCACGCUGACGCUGAGACACGAAGCCAGGAGCGAACGG